AAUCAUGUCAAGAUGGAUGGGAGCAUUGAAGGCUAACGGGCUAAGAAGACUCAAUCAAGUAAGCGAACGAAAAUACGGACGCGCAAGGCUAUACAUGUUUGGAUGUUUCAUCUAGAAGUGUACGCGGUUGAAGAUCGAGUCAAGACACGGAUUGUAUGUGGGUGUGUACGUAGUCAUUUAAUUGAGAGAUGUAUGUUAGUUUUUGGAUUAAUUUAUAAAAAGAGAUUAAUGUAUUUAAAUGAAAGAAAGAAUAUCAUGAAGGAAAUUUUAGGUAUGUA
This is a long non-coding RNA of Helianthus annuus (common sunflower), 278 nucleotides long. RefSeq lists it as uncharacterized. The transcript has 2 exons. The record is from RefSeq and is a predicted model, not a curated record. NCBI's taxonomy places the organism in Eukaryota, Viridiplantae, Streptophyta, Magnoliopsida, Asterales, Asteraceae.